UACGUAGGGCGCAAGCGUUAUCCGGAAUUAUUGGGCGUAAAGAGCUCGUAGGCGGCUUGUCGCGUCGACUGUGAAAUCCCGCGGCUCAACUGCGGGUCUGCAGUCGAUACGGGCAGGCUAGAGUUCGGUAGGGGAGACUGGAAUUCCUGGUGUAGCGGUGAAAUGCGCAGAUAUCAGGAGGAACACCGAUGGCGAAGGCAGGUCUCUGGGCAUUAACUGACGCUGAGGAGCGAAAGCAUGGGGAGCGAACAGG
RNAcentral lists this ribosomal RNA (253 nucleotides) under uncultured bacterium. Its description in RNAcentral is "partial 16S ribosomal RNA". It matches the Rfam family "Bacterial small subunit ribosomal RNA", at positions 524 to 776 of the family's 1533-position model. The record is from RNAcentral.